Molecule: ribosomal RNA, 774 nt
Filed under: uncultured bacterium
Lineage: Bacteria
Description: bacterial SSU rRNA
Rfam family: Bacterial small subunit ribosomal RNA
Source: RNAcentral
GUCGAACGAGAAAGUGGAGCAAUCCAUGAGUAAAGUGGCGACCGGGUGAGUAACACGUGACUACCUACCCUUGAGUGGGGGAUAACCUCGGGAAACCGAGGCUAAUACCGCAUAAUAUCGAAAGAUCAAAGGAGUAAUCCGCUUUUGGAGGGGGUCGCGGCUGAUUAGCUAGUUGGUAGGGUAAUGGCCUACCAAGGCGAAGAUCGGUAUCCGGCCUGAGAGGGCGCACGGACACACUGGAACUGAAACACGGUCCAGACUCCUACGGGAGGCAGCAGUGGGGAAUUUUGCACAAUGGGGGCAACCCUGAUGCAGCGACGCCGCGUGAGCGAUGAAGCCCUUCGGGGUGUAAAGCUCUUUCGACAGGAACGAUAAUGACGGUACCUGGAGAAGAAGCUGCGGCUAACUACGUGCCAGCAGCCGCGGUAAUACGUAGGCAGCAAGCGUUGUUCGGAGUUACUGGGCGUAAAGAGUGCGUAGGCGGUGCCCCAAGUCUGUUGUGAAAUCUCCCGGCUUAACUGGGAGGGUGCGGUGGAAACUGGGGUGCUCGAGUGUGGGAGAGGUAAGCGGAAUUCCUGGUGUAGCGGUGAAAUGCGUAGAUAUCAGGAGGAACACCGGCGGUGUAGACGGCUUACUGGACCACGACUGACGCUGAGGCACGAAAGCGUGGGUAGCAAACAGGAUUAGAUACCCUGGUAGUCCACGCCCUAAACGAUGCAUACUUGGUGUGAGCGAUUCAUUUCGUUCGUGCCGGAGCUAACGCGUUAAGUAUGC